UACCAGCACCCCGAGUGGUCGGGACGUUUAUUGGGCCUAAAGCAUCCGUAGCCGGUUCUACAAGUCUUCCGUUAAAUCCAACUGCUUAACAGGUGGGCUGCGGAAGAUACUAUAGAGCUAGGAGGCGGGAGAGGCAAGCGGUACUCGAUGGGUAGGGGUAAAAUCCGUUGAUCCAUUGAAGAUCACCAGUGGCGAAGGCGGCUUGCCAGAACGCGCUCGACGGUGAGGGAUGAAAGCUGGGGGAGCAAACCGG
RNAcentral lists this ribosomal RNA (253 nucleotides) under uncultured bacterium. Its description in RNAcentral is "partial 16S ribosomal RNA". It matches the Rfam family "Archaeal small subunit ribosomal RNA", at positions 474 to 727 of the family's 1478-position model. The record is from RNAcentral.